AAUAAUUAAGCCUGACUCACCCCCAACCUCUCCCAAAGCUCGUAGCAUAUAAUUCCAUUUAUGGUCAAUUCUAUAAAAUGUAAACUGAUCUACAGUGACCAAAAGCAGUUCUCUGAGGAGUAAGUAUAGUAGUUGUGACUGGCAAUAGAGAUUACAAAUGAGCAGAAGGAAAUUUGGGGGGAUGAUGUGUAUGCUUACUCUCUUGACUUUGAUUAUGGUCUCAGGGGUGUAUACAUACACAUGUAAAAAUAAAAUUGUACACUUCAACUAUGUGCAGAUUUUAAGUAUAUCACCUCAAUAAAGUCGUUUGAAAAAACUAUGGAGAAACACAGAGGCCACGUGUGACCCAGAUUAUGUGACCAAAAUUGGGCUGCUGUUCCUGGGCCAGUCACUUAAGAAUCCUCAGCUGUAGAGAUAAUACCGCCCUUGCGACGCUUGAGAGACAGUGAAAACUUGUGUAAUGCAUAUGACCCUUGGCCAUACAUUCUGUUGUUCCACCACUUAAAGUGGAAGGGUAGUAGGCAGUCUGCAAUCUAUUUGAAGUUCUAGUACAUCUUGGAUCUCUGACUUUAAGCAAGUUCUUUAACUUGUUUCAGUGUCGGUUGCAGAGGGUAUUAAAAUGACAUAAUGCAUGGAAUUAGCGUAGUGCCAGGUACACAGGCGGGGAGGAGGUGUCAGUAGCGUUAGACCCUGGCUGGUUGCUGGGAUCACGGGGUGGGUCGCGGCAGGAACUUUCUGGGUUAGGGGCUGGUAAGCCUGGGAGGUAAAGACGGCUGGAACAGUAGCAGUGGCAAAAGCGAUACCCAGUGGCCGCGGCGAACACCUGAGCAGCGGAACAGGUAACCAACCUACGCACCAUGCAACAAGCCACUGACACCUCCCAGCCUGCCCCGCGCCUUCGGGCGCAGGCGCAGUGAGAUAGGCGGUGGUGGGGGCCCAGUGAGGUCCAGCCCCGAGGUUGGAUGGGCGUGGCUUGGACCCUCGCCCCGCCUCUCGACCUGGGCGGUGGUCGGAGGCGCGGCUGCGGGUCUAUGAGCUACCGUACCCCCUCAGAUACUGCUGUAGGUGUUGGUGAUUCAGCAGUGAAGAAGAUGGACAAAGUCCCCACUUUGUUGGAACACAUGUUCUAGAGGAUGUGUUCAAAAUGAGGGGGAAAGAAAGAGACAGACAAUAUAUAAAAUACUUUUGGAAGUGUUACUGAGUCAAACUGGGGUCUGCUUGCCUGUGCACAGUGAAGCCAAUUAAAUGACACUGGGUUGUGAUGAAGGAAAGUGCAGCAUCUACUGUAAAGGCUCUCAUACAAGGAGAAUGGGUGGCAUGUGCUUUAAAUCCCAAGCUGCCCAAAGGGUUUUAGCAAAGCAUUUGUAAAGGCCAGGUAAAUGGGGAGUGGUCCCAGGGUGUAGGAUCAGCUUGUGUACAGUUCUCUGAUUGGUUGAUGGUGAGGAAACAAAAUGGGGUCACAGGGGUUAACAUUAUCAAUCCUUAGGUGCCAGUAUGUCUGGAGGUUUAUAAUCAUCAAAUAGUUAAUUUCUUCCAAUUGAUGAUGGUCUUAGUAUCUGUAAAACAACCCAGUCAGUGUGCGUCAGAUACUAUGAUCUAGGUACUUCAGAAAGAUGCUAUAGCAGAGGAUAUAGGGGAGGAGUCUGUCCCAGGAAGGCCUCACAGGGUCCUUCUUGGUUAUAGAAGCAAAAACUAGGGUGAUUGAAUAGUAACUGGGUGGGGUGGAAUAGGGAGUGGCUAUGGGUCUACUUUAGGGAUAGGGUGAUCAACUGCUUUUGUCAAAUGUUGUGAAGGGAAGAGCCACCUGAAUUUAGAGCCAAGAAGACUUGGAGUCUAUUCAGCUCUGCCAGCGUGACCUCAGUUCUUCAACCAGGGAUCGAACCCAGGUCCUCAGCAGUGAGAGCUCAGUCCUAACUACUGGCAAGCAUGAGUGCUAAGUCACUUCAGUCAUGUCCAACUCUUUGCCACCCCAUGGACUGUAGCCUGCCCGGCUCCUCUGAACAUGGGAUUCUCCAGGCAAGAAUAUUGGAGUGGGUUGCCAUGCUGUCCUCCAGAGGAUCUUCUCAACCCAAGGAUUGAACCCACAUCUCCUGCAUUGUAGGUGGAUUCUUUACUGCUGGGCCACUGAAGAAGCCCCAUUAACCACUGGAUUGUUAGGGAAUUCCCUGAAAGGAAAUGUAUGUUAACUAAAAAGAGCUAUAGAAGUACGAUGUUAUUUCAUUUCUCUGUUGACUAUGUGAAUUUCACGCAGAAAUGAUGGUUGUUGACCAACCCUUUGGUGGGACUUUGAAACAGAGACCUGGGCUUCUGGACCACUGGUGUUCUCAGGAGAGUGCAGGGUAUGUGCUCCUGAGAAGGUGGCUGCCUGCCUGGCUGCAGGAAAACAGAGGUCAAGGCUAGGGGGGACUGCUACAGUAGGAACAGAGUAGCCACCAACUCUUUAUUUACUCUCUGCAUUCUGCACUGGAUCCUUGUGGGAACCAUACUGGUUUUAAUAAAAAUCCUUUUUACCUUG
Long non-coding RNA from Bubalus bubalis (water buffalo), 2515 nucleotides. RefSeq lists it as uncharacterized. The record is from RefSeq and is a predicted model, not a curated record. The transcript has 3 exons. Lineage: Eukaryota; Metazoa; Chordata; Mammalia; Artiodactyla; Bovidae.